AUCCCUGUGCUCGGGUUCGCGUUGGUACCAGUGAAGUUCAUACUGAGGUCCAACCUAUUGCUGAUUGCAAACUACAUUCCUAAACCUCCUCGCACUUCGGUGCUUGGGAAUUUUUGGAGCCCCACUGGGC
Molecule: small nuclear RNA, 130 nt
Filed under: Tulasnella calospora MUT 4182
Lineage: Eukaryota; Fungi; Basidiomycota; Agaricomycetes; Cantharellales; Tulasnellaceae
Description: U4 spliceosomal RNA
Rfam family: U4 spliceosomal RNA
About the family: U4 small nuclear RNA (U4 snRNA) is a component of the major U2-dependent spliceosome. The structure of U4 snRNA from yeast and human has been reported. U4 snRNA presents a k-turn RNA motif in the 5p-SL related to recognition of Snu13 protein.
Source: Rfam by way of RNAcentral